GUAGGGUUUUUGUGUGUGGCGUCAUCAUUUGAGAUAUGUUAACUCUGUCGAGAUGAUACCACCGUUAUAAAACACUCUCUUCACCCAAAUACGGCUUUUAGAACCAAGCCAAAUGCGAGACGGCUACUUCGGG
Non-coding RNA from Sulfurimonas sp., 133 nucleotides. The record is from Rfam. NCBI's taxonomy places the organism in Bacteria, Pseudomonadati, Campylobacterota, Epsilonproteobacteria, Campylobacterales, Sulfurimonadaceae.